CCUCGUAGCGUCUGCGAAAGCAGGCGCUGCGGGGACUUCUUUCCGUCUUUAACGAGGGUCUGCUCGUG
Non-coding RNA from Serratia marcescens subsp. marcescens Db11, 68 nucleotides. NCBI's taxonomy places the organism in Bacteria, Pseudomonadati, Pseudomonadota, Gammaproteobacteria, Enterobacterales, Yersiniaceae. The record is from Rfam.